Molecule: long non-coding RNA, 455 nt
Organism: Culex quinquefasciatus (southern house mosquito)
Lineage: Eukaryota; Metazoa; Arthropoda; Insecta; Diptera; Culicidae
Exons: 3
Source: RefSeq, a predicted model, not a curated record
GUAAAUGAUAAUUUCAUGUAAAACUUACUUAACGUAAAUGAUGGAGACACAUAAAUUUAAUUGUUGCUGUUUGUUUCAUUCAAUGACAGUUCAUUAUUGUUGUCGAUUGCGGGUGAAGUUGCGGGAGUGUUUUGUUGACAAAUGUUGAUGUUUUAAGGUUUCCUCAAGUUGGUUUCGUAAGGGCCGAAAAGCGAUAAAUUCCAAAGCAAAACAACACUCCGCUGGAAUUGGACGAAAUGUUUAGAAUUCAAAUGUAAACAACGGAAGCACCAGUUCAUUUCUCAGUCCAGUCAAUGUCACCCGGCAUGUUUUUGCCGGAAGCGAAUCUGUCCGGAAGUCUUCUAUUCAGGCAGGUUUACCAAGUACGAGGAGGACAUUCAAAUUCCCGUUCAGUGAUGAAACCUUUCCUCGUAUAAGUUAAUAAUUUUAAAAAAAUCCGUGUCCAGUGUUAAAAA